AGGCGAAGUAGUUUAAUUUAAAAACGAUAGAUUGUGGUUCUGUUGAUAGUUGCAUCUUUUCGUCUC
This 66-nucleotide transfer RNA is filed under the name Gibbosula rochechouartii. RNAcentral's name for it is "tRNA-His". It matches the Rfam family "tRNA". From Rfam's summary of the family: Transfer RNA (tRNA) molecules are approximately 80 nucleotides in length. The record is from RNAcentral. Lineage: Eukaryota; Metazoa; Mollusca; Bivalvia; Unionida; Margaritiferidae.